GCCUUCGUGGUGUAACGACUAACACACUCGGCUCGUAUUCGAGAGGUCCAGGUUCCAGUCUUGCCGAGGGCA
Molecule: transfer RNA, 72 nt
Filed under: Stegodyphus mimosarum
Lineage: Eukaryota; Metazoa; Arthropoda; Arachnida; Araneae; Eresidae
Rfam family: tRNA
About the family: Transfer RNA (tRNA) molecules are approximately 80 nucleotides in length.
Source: Rfam by way of RNAcentral